RNAcentral lists this ribosomal RNA (203 nucleotides) under uncultured bacterium. RNAcentral's name for it is "partial 16S ribosomal RNA". It matches the Rfam family "Bacterial small subunit ribosomal RNA", at positions 28 to 232 of the family's 1533-position model. The record is from RNAcentral.
GACGAACGCUGGCGGCGUGCUUAACACAUGCAAGUCGAGCGGUAAGGCCCUUUCGGGGGUACACGAGCGGCGAACGGGUGAGUAACACGUGGGUGACCUGCCCUUAGCUCUGGGAUAAGCCUGGGAAACUGGGUCUAAAUACCGGAUAUGACUCCAUGACGCAUGUUGUGGGGUGAAAGCCUUGUGCGGCUAGGGAUGGGCCC